Ictidomys tridecemlineatus (thirteen-lined ground squirrel) is the source of this 1363-nucleotide non-coding RNA. The record is from RefSeq and is a predicted model, not a curated record. NCBI's taxonomy places the organism in Eukaryota, Metazoa, Chordata, Mammalia, Rodentia, Sciuridae.
AAGAUUGUUUGUUCCACAGGUUGACCUGCCCAUAGGAGAUGCUGAGGAAGCCCUGGGAAGCAGAGAACAGUACAGAAUGGAAGUGUGGAUCUGUCUAGGGAGCCCAGAGUUCUGGGAAUGGCGAUGAGGGGUGGAUGAGAGCACUUCAGAGUGCUUUGAGAGGAGAGUUGGCCCUCACAGCCUGUAUCAUGACUCUGAGUGUUUGAGAUGAUGAGAAGAUAAGUGUCUGGCAACAUAGCAUGUGGGUGACCCUUAAGUGCAGUUGGAUAUGGCUGAGCACAGUAGCCAUGCCUAUGAUCCUGGCUGUACAGGAAGCUGAGGCAGGAGGAGCAGAAGCUCUGAGAAGAAAAAGGGCUGGCUCAGUGUGAGAGCAACCCUGGGCUGGGUCCCCAGUGCUUGGGGGAAAGGGUAGUUGAAUGGACCCCAUCAACCAAGUGGGAAGCUGUUCCCGGGGCUCAGGGUAAGUCCCCUUCAGCAGCCACACUCGGGAGUCUUAAGUCCUAGAUGUUCACAUGCUGGUUGCUUUCUGUCUCUCCAGGCCCAUUGCUCCUUCUCCUUUGCACCCCAGAGUUUGUCUUAGGGAUGACUCCACUGGUUUUUCUUCUCAUGUUUGAACAGUGUAAGGUACCAGGAGCAGAUCGGGAUGGAGGGCAGGGACCCUCUGUGCCCUCCUCACUCCCUGCUGGACACUGGCUUAGCUUUCCAGUUCACAGCCUUUCUGGCUGUGGCCCCUCUUUGGUUAAAGAUUUCCUAAGCUCUCCUUCUCCUUGCCCUCAGAUCUAGGGUGAAUACAGCUCUGGGUGCCACCAUUGGUUUGGUUUCAUUUUGGAGAUGUCUGUAGAUUGCCCCUUUAUUAACAUCCUUGAGUUGCUAUUGAGUGUGUGGGGCAUACCCGAGCACACUACUUGGGGAGCUCCACCACCGAGCUAUAUUGCCAGCCUUUCUUAUAUUUUUUUUCUUUUUAAUUGUGAAACAGGUCUUGCUAAACUGCCUGGGAUGGCCUUAUGAUCCUCCUGCCUCAGCCUCGCAGAUAGAAGGAUAAUGGGCCUGUACCACCAUAUCCAGCCUUAAGAAAGAAGCCUGUCCUCUCUGAGAGUAAGGAGUUGCUUAGCUAACGGUCCCAUGGAGCUGACUGGGCUAACUAGAUUGCAGCUGAGUUGCCUCACCAGCCCUUGGGUGGCGAUGAAGCUCCCUUCUCCUGGACCCGCAUGUCAUCUCUUCUGAAACAGACGUUGAUGCAGGCCUCCUCUUUGGACAGUGCCAGUAAGCACAGGGCAAUCUGUAUUCAUGAACUUUUGUAUCACUCUGUUCUGUCUCUAAGGGAUUAAAUAAAUGCCUUGAUAUUUGGUAUAAGUAGAACACA